This 242-nucleotide long non-coding RNA is filed under the name Gossypium barbadense (sea-island cotton). RNAcentral describes it as "long non-coding RNA (GBAR_LNC012432)". Lineage: Eukaryota; Viridiplantae; Streptophyta; Magnoliopsida; Malvales; Malvaceae. The record is from RNAcentral.
CAGUGUUGGCACACAAAUUGACGAGGCUUAGCGUCAUCUACGCUGGCUAUAGAUGUAGCUUGAGUCCUAAAACUCGAGCCUUGCUUCUUAUGGUUUCCAUGGGAGCAUCCUGUCGAUGCAUAAGAACGAGGAGGUACAUCUCUUGAUUUCUUGGAUUGUGUCGAAGCCGAUCUUCUCAUUAUUCUCUUUCUAACAUCUCUAGCCUCUGACUUGAUUUUCUUCUUUUCUUUCGUUAAUUUUUC